CGAAGACGUCAGUAUAAUUCUGUGAAAGAAGCGACACAAGUGCCACAAGGAACAAAGACCUGUCUGAAGGCCGUGCGCGCGCGAGAGAGAGAGAGAGAGAGAGAGAGAGACCGAGAGAAGGUCGGCAGAUAAAAAGGCAUUGAAAGCUAAGCAAGCCCGGCAACGACAGCCAUGACAGCAGCACAGCGAGAACGUUGUCUUCUUCUGGGCAAGACUAGACUCGAUGCAGGCGAAAGUCGUGUGGAAGUCUACCAAGUGUAACCUAUCUACAUCUGGUUCUGAUAGCGAAGGAUGACGCCGAAGCCCUCGAAAGCAUCCACCCACCCAAUGCCCUCUUGUUCCGAGCGUGCCAUGGCACAGCACGAGCCAUGGUGUUCAUCAAGGUCAUCCAUCUUCCUGCACAUCGACUGUAGUGUUCGAGAGAGACACUGAGGUGGCAGAAACAUCAUGUGAUGGAGCAGAUUUCCGUGUCUCAGAAUCAUCAGAACAGUCAACAAAAGGGAACUCCCCUGCGUCAACAAUGCCUCGAGGUGUUGGAAGUGGAAAUGGUGCAAGUAAAUUCGACAUUAAUCUCUAUCAUUCUGUUAAGCUGUUCUUAUCAGAAGCAACCUUUUGAUCGAUUAGCCAUUGAAAUUAUUUCUCCGAGGAAAAGGAUAUGAAAUGUCACACUCUCCUGCAUGCACGACAUGAAAGUGGCCUGCAUUUUUUGUGUUAGCGCUGUCAAAGAAAACAUUUAAAUUAUCAUA
This is a long non-coding RNA of Musa acuminata AAA Group (dessert banana), 746 nucleotides long. RefSeq lists it as uncharacterized. The transcript has 2 exons. The record is from RefSeq and is a predicted model, not a curated record. Lineage: Eukaryota; Viridiplantae; Streptophyta; Magnoliopsida; Zingiberales; Musaceae.